This 416-nucleotide ribosomal RNA is filed under the name uncultured bacterium. RNAcentral describes it as "bacterial SSU rRNA". It matches the Rfam family "Bacterial small subunit ribosomal RNA", at positions 46 to 453 of the family's 1533-position model. The record is from RNAcentral.
GCCUUAUGCAUGCAAGUCGAGCGAAGCUUUUCAGUAGUUUACUACAGAAAAUGACUGAGCGGCGAACGGGUGAGUAACGCGUGAGCAACCUACCUUAGUUACUGGGAUAGCCCGAGGAAACUCGGAUUAAUACCGGAUAUUCUUAUUUAAUCACAUGAUUUUUUAAGGAAAGGUCAGCCGAACUAAGAUGGGCUCGCGUUCUAUCAGCUAGUUGGUAGGGUAAUGGCCUACCAAGGCUACGACGGAUAGCUGGUCUGAGAGGACGAUCAGCCACACUGGGACUGAGACACGGCCCAGACUCCUACGGGAGGCUGCAGCAGGGAAUAUUGCGCAAUGAGCGAAAGCUUGACGCAGCGACACCGCGUGUGGGAUGACGGAUCUAGGUUUGUAAACCACUUUCAGGAGGGAAGAAAAUG